Molecule: transfer RNA, 72 nt
Filed under: Patescibacteria group bacterium
Lineage: Bacteria
Also listed under: 1 other name
Description: tRNA-Met
Rfam family: tRNA
About the family: Transfer RNA (tRNA) molecules are approximately 80 nucleotides in length.
Source: RNAcentral
GCUAUCGUAGCUCAGCGGUAGAGCACCCGUUUCAUAAGCGGGACGUCACAGGUUCGAAUCCUGUCGAUAGCA